CUGCAAGAGCAGAGAGAGAGAGAGAGAGAGAGAGAGAGAGAGAGCUCACGUCACUCCCGGGGAUCACACACCCUUUUGGGAUUGCACAGUGAGGACCUGACUGAAGCCAGGUGUGGUGAUCAAACUGAAGCUAGGUUCAGUAGAACUCCGUUCAGAGACAGAGCUGAUUUUACAGAAGCUCAGAGCCCAGAGGGAAAACAGACAUGUCAGGCAGUGUCAUCAGAAGAAACACCAGCAAGCAGGGACUGCACAACCUCCUGAGACUGACGGCGCAACGCAGCAUAGAUGAUGCAGAGGAGAGCGAGCGAGAGCGCCGCAGGAGGGCGAGGGAGGCGGCACGCGCCCGUGGUGGGGGAACAGACUGUGGGGGGGCCCUGCAGGACAGUGUGCCUCAACCCGAGAGCAGUACGCCCCAAUCUGUGCCCCAUUCUGAGAACAGUGAACCCCGAUUCAAAGACAGCGUGCCCCAAUCUGAGGACCGAGCACCCGCAAACAAAGAGAGAGCACUGGACGCUGGUUUAAAGCCCGGCUGCCAGGCAACUCUGGAGGAGGACGAGGGCUUCAGCAACCGGACCCUGAAACCGGGGGGAAGCCAUCAGCAUCACCCAGGGCAACGGAGCCCUGAAGGAGCCCCCAGUGCUGAUGGGAGCCUCCUCUUCCCAGCACACCUGACUUCUAAACCGCAAGAAGAAGAGGAGGAGAACAGGGAUGAGUAUGCGAUGAAGGAGAGAGAGAGGAGUGGGGAGCAGGACCAGGGGGAGAGGGAAGAAGUCGAGGAGGAGGAACGGACAGAUUCAAAGAAGGCAGAGCUGGACACACAAAAAACAGAGGAAAAGGGUGAGGACAAACAGACAAAGGUAACAUAUGUGUCCAGCAUCUUUCUGCACCAGGAAAAGAGACGCAUAAUCUCCAAUGGAGAUGCAGCAGGAGAGGAAAUGACAUCAUGCACAGUUACGACUAAAAGGACACAAAGCAUUGCAUGAAACUGACACAGACAUGGGAGGGUUUCUGUCUUAGCUUUGGAGGGCUUCUAACAUCAUCAUCUGGCAUCAAAUCAGGAGCCGCAGUGUGCUGGAGGAGGUAGAGAAUGAUACAAACAAGGUGGAGGUGAAGAGGGAGAUGAUGUGGAGCAGCCAGAGGGGGAAGGGGAGA
Anguilla rostrata (American eel) is the source of this 1152-nucleotide RNA transcript. It is a transcript of the gene named cilia- and flagella-associated protein 251-like, with no coding region annotated. The transcript has 6 exons. The record is from RefSeq and is a predicted model, not a curated record. Lineage: Eukaryota; Metazoa; Chordata; Actinopteri; Anguilliformes; Anguillidae.